AUGCUUUUUUUAGAUUACUAUUAUGCUCUUUUAUUAUGUCUUCCAUUCAAUGAGUCAGGAUUGUAAAUACAAGUUUUUGUUGUCCAAAGACACUUGGACACUGAGUUAUGUGUACUUCAAUGUUUUUGAAUAAUGCUCUUUUGUAUCGGCUGAAUAAAUAUGAAUCCAAUUAGUAACAAUAAAAAGGAUUGCUAGAUGGAAAUGUUCUUUAACUGUAAAUAAUGCAUUUUUAAUUUUUUGGUUGUGUUGUUCUCACAGAUUUCCAAAUAGGAAAAAUAUUUGUAUGACAGUAAACCAAAGUGAUUAUUUUACUACAGGACUACAAAUAGUUUGUUUUAUAAUCUAAUUUCAAGAUACAAUACCUGCUUUAGAAAUUCCUCACCAGAAUAUUUACCUUCUAGUGCAUUUUUCUGUAAUGGAUUAACUGAUUUAGUCAAAGUGGAUGGGUACCCAAACCACCAGAGCAACUGCAAAUGUGAUGCCCAUGGUUACACAAUUUAGCUCAUGUACUAGUAGUAGAUUUAUUGUAUUAUCUCUUUAUAAUGGAUGAGGUUAAAGAAGUAUAAUCCCUCCUCGCCUGGUCAUUGACAAUCACUUUGGAUGAGCAUUUUAUUGAAAAAAAUUCACUGCCAUUUCUCUAGCAUCCACAGAUAGUAAAUAAGUAAUAAAUAAAUAAAUAAAAAAGUUACUUAUAAAACGCUUACUACCGAAGUCUCUAGUACACCUUAAUAGUCUUUAUAACUGUAAUGUACUUGAGUAAUAUAAAUAUAUAUGUAUAAUGUAAAUAUAUUAAAUAACUGCAUGUCUCUCUCUCUCAGGCUCUCUCUUUCAAACAAGCUGUGUCAAUAUACCUGAAAUGUCUUUUUUUUAUAUUUUGAGAAGUAGCUUUUCUCAAGUUAAUAUGCAUUUGAUAAAUGCAUUUCAUCUCUAGUGUGAAAAGAAUUCAAUGUAAAUAGAAUAUUUAUUGGUGCUUAUUUCGGAGUGCCAUGUGCUUUUUUUCGUUUAUUCAUGUUGAUGUCAUGUAUUGCCAUGUCAUCUCAUCCAUCUAACAUGUCACUUAGGGCUCCUUAUACACUACAUUUGAAACCUAAGUGGAGGGUUGUAUCUGCAAAUUAUUAAAUGUUUAAUCAAAAUGAAACCAUACCAAAUUAUUCAGAAGGCAAUUUUUCAGUCACUUUAAAUAUGCACUUCAUCGAUGCAUUUCAUCCAUUGUGUGCAAAUCGUGUUAUGUUUUCUGAUUAUAAUUUUGUGGUUGUUUAUGGGUACUUUGUACUUUGAUAUUAGUUUCCAACCUCUUACCAGAAUACCAGUUAACUUUCCUUUUUGUUGAGGGGAAGAAGAUUACUUAGCAACUUCAAACUGUAUUCCUAGCUAGAUUCAUGUAUUAUUAAUAAUAGUAAUAAUAACAAUAAUAAAUACUUAUAAAGCGCACUUAUCUAAUAAAUUACUCAAGGCACUAUACAAAACAAUAUUAAAAUGAAUUAUUUACAAUAUGUGAGAAAUUUAUAUUUUAAUACUAUAUAUUUUCUGUCUAUUUUACUGCUUGCUGUGAAUGAAUUCAUAUUAAAAACAUUUGCUAAUAAAUCUGAACCUAAAGUGCCAUUUGCAA
Strongylocentrotus purpuratus (purple sea urchin) is the source of this 1609-nucleotide long non-coding RNA. RefSeq lists it as uncharacterized. NCBI's taxonomy places the organism in Eukaryota, Metazoa, Echinodermata, Echinoidea, Camarodonta, Strongylocentrotidae. The transcript has 2 exons. The record is from RefSeq and is a predicted model, not a curated record.